This 387-nucleotide unclassified non-coding RNA is filed under the name fungal sp. Its description in RNAcentral is "partial internal transcribed spacer region". The stretch from base 1 to 46 matches the Rfam family "Eukaryotic small subunit ribosomal RNA", at positions 1786 to 1831 of the family's 1831-position model. The record is from RNAcentral. Lineage: Eukaryota; Fungi.
AAGUCGUAACAAGGUUUCCGUAGGUGAACCUGCGGAAGGAUCAUUAUUGAUUCGAAACAAACAACAAAAUGUGUUUCAAUUUUAUUGUUACAUAUUUUAUAGAAAAAAUUUUACGUGCUGAUUGUGCGUAAAAAAUUUUUUUAACACAUAGUUAUGUGUUUUGUUGAACGCAUUGUUUUUAAUAUGUAUUAAAAACGAAAGCACUUGAUACAAUAUUUGAUUGGGUACUUAUUUUUAAUAAGUAUAUUGACAAAAUUGUCAUGACAUUCGCCCAAACAUAUUAUUUAAAUCAUUGUGUUUACAAACUUUUGUCGUUUUAUACGCUUUAUGUAAUAUAAAUGAAAAAUUUAAAAUUCAACCCUAAGCGGGGGAUCACUUGGUUUGUGG